This is a long non-coding RNA of Nymphaea colorata (pocket water lily), 431 nucleotides long. RefSeq lists it as uncharacterized. The record is from RefSeq and is a predicted model, not a curated record. The transcript has 3 exons. Lineage: Eukaryota; Viridiplantae; Streptophyta; Magnoliopsida; Nymphaeales; Nymphaeaceae.
CAAGAAGAAUUUGAAAAAUCUGCAUAUGGGAGAGCCACGCGUGCACAGAUCAAUGCACAAGCUAAACAGUCACAGGCCACCAACACGGGAGAGCCAGUUCUGAAGUGGCAAAUGGGAUGAAAUGCAGAUGUAUUAUUCUGUUAUUCAAUUUGAACAAACAGAAUGGUGAAAGGCGCCUUCUCAAGAUUCCAAAUGUUAAGAUGGUGUGACCUUGAGCUUUAUCAUGAAGGCCCAUGCUCUGUCCACAUUUUACAGUAUAUAAGAUGUUAAUAAAGUUGCUUGUACAGGUUGUCUGGUUAUUGUUUCGUAUGUCAAAAUUAAGUUUCAGUCGACCAUCCUUUGUUCUGUCUCAAGUAUCAGUAUCAUACUCAGUGAUCUCUGCUUCUGGCAAGUAUGUCUAAUAUAUCUUUCAAGAAUAGCAUUUCGGUUCA